AAACACUUGCUGUUCAGAUAUGCUUAGAAGUGCUGGCAGAGCACAGGCUCCGGAGCCUCUUGCUGUACCCUGAGAGCUGAUUCUCCAUGAAAUCCCUCCCAAUAGUGCUGAAACAGACCUUUGCUCACUUUGUGAGGCAGCAUCAGUGCCGCUUGCUAAAAAUGACAACUCUGAAUUGGUCAUGGCUGCUUGGAAUUCCUGAGUCUCACAAAGUCAUCCUAUCUUAACACCAAGUACUUCCCUUGUGUAGGCUGUCCCAGGAAGAUGUGAUGUUUUCCACUACCUGACACUAAGUUGUUAAAUUGGUGAAACAGACCCAACAUAUGGGAGCCCCAAAGGACUGAUGUU
Melospiza melodia melodia is the source of this 348-nucleotide long non-coding RNA. RefSeq lists it as uncharacterized. The transcript has 3 exons. NCBI's taxonomy places the organism in Eukaryota, Metazoa, Chordata, Aves, Passeriformes, Passerellidae. The record is from RefSeq and is a predicted model, not a curated record.